Molecule: transfer RNA, 83 nt
Filed under: Bacteroidetes bacterium HGW-Bacteroidetes-23
Lineage: Bacteria; Pseudomonadati; Bacteroidota
Description: tRNA-Asn
Source: RNAcentral
UCCUCCUUAGCUCAGUUGGUUAGAGCAUCUGACUGUUAAUCUGAGUCCCGAUAGUUAUCGGGAUUGGUUCGAGCUAAGAAGUU